AACAUGAGCACUGGAGUAAAUGUUCUUUCAACAGUCUUUGGUAUAAAAGUAGGAGCUACUGAGCUCAACAUUUGUGAUCAUCACAGAUCCAGCAUCAGUUUCUCCACUUCAGGAAGUCCAAUAUCAAACUCCACACAUGCAGUGGGAUCGAAUUGGCACUGCACGAAUUUCGGUGGAGGAAGAUUGUGAAGGAUCAACGCUAGGUCACUGAUAUUGCUAGGGGCAAAAUGCUGUUGCGUGUUUAAUUCGGGGAAGAGCAGAAAUACAUCAAGCUGUCUGAGCUGACAUUCAAUGCUUACUUGAAAGAAGCGUGUCUAAAAUUCAACAUACCAGAAAGCACGCAGCCAGACAUUAAGGUGUAUGACCAGUCAGACACAGAAGUUGACACGGAGGUUUUUGAAGAAAUAGUGAAGGAGUCACCUGGAACUCUGAGAAUCAUGCUGGGCAAUGGAGGACUAGGUGCCUCUCAGUUAUCAUCAAGCUCAGGUACAUCUGAUGACACCUUCAUCCUGAAUUUCACAAUGUGUGACACUGUUAAAGAAGAAGCCGCUGCCGAAGGAAGCCAGCCUAAAAGGCCAUGCCACAUAAACUACGAGGCAAAAGCGAAAGCACAUUGACACCUAUAGUUGAUUGAAAAAUCAAAGCCUGGUGGUGAACAAAUUAUGCAAGAGUAUGGAAAAACCAAAUCCAUGACAGAUGCCACCAGAAGAUGAUUAACAUACUUGCUGCUGAGAUGACAGAAACACAUGGGACAUCCCCCCCAAAAGUGUCAGAGUGAUGUAUGCACAGGGGAUAGUAGCUUUGUUUCCCUAUCUAGAAGACCCAUACUCACAACAUGGAUAUGAACAUUACUACGAUCCAGAGAGUGACUCAGGAUACCUUGCAUGGCGAUUGAAGACCAUACAAAGAAAAACAGCAGAGGAAAGAGGUGCCUCAGUCAGCAAAUCUCCUAAAGUUGGUGGGCCAGGUCUUGUUCGUCAGCCCUCCACCUUUGACAGAAAGCCAUCUGAUGAGGAUGUGGAAGCAGCUAUUGCUGUUAUGAGACACUCUGGUGAUGAAAAGACUGUCAGUGACAAAAUGAAAAUGACCUUCAUAUAUCGGCAAGCAAUGGUCAACGAUGAAGCCAAAUCAUCAGAUGUCUUCUUGGUCUUCCCACGAUUUCUGGACACACCAGGACUGAUAAAACAAGAUUUCAGAUUUCUGUUUGGUGAGGCCACGGCAAACAAAUUCUUGGAGAAGUGGCCAACCACUUUUAAAGCAAAAGUAAUAAAGGAAAGCCAUGGACUUGUACCCACCACAGAACUCUUGGAUUUGAUGUCCAAUGCUGAGUCAGCUGCUUAAGUUGAGAAUGGAUGGGACAGUGACAUGUCAAUCAAUCAAUCAAUCAAACUUUAUUUAUAAAGUGCAUUACAAC
Silurus meridionalis is the source of this 1414-nucleotide long non-coding RNA. RefSeq lists it as uncharacterized. NCBI's taxonomy places the organism in Eukaryota, Metazoa, Chordata, Actinopteri, Siluriformes, Siluridae. The transcript has 11 exons. The record is from RefSeq and is a predicted model, not a curated record.